CAAGAAACCCAGGCGAUAACCCUUUCCCACUUAUCUUUGAGAAAGGUGGGUGGGGACCCCUUCAAAAGGACCCAGCCCAGAGUAUCGCAGAUUACAACAGGUGUUCACUUAAUGCUUAUUGCAAGGAAUCCUCCUUAGAAACUACUCCUGUGGCGGAAAGAAACGUCAGUAGUGACUACAGCACGAUGCACGAUGAAACCUGACUCUUCUACCUCCUUGUGCAGUUUGAUGCUGGUGUCAUUCCCCAGCAGAUUUGAAAGCUGAAAGCAUUGCCAGCCAGCAGAGGGAGAACAAGUUAACUACAAAUCCCUAUUUAUAGAACUGUACUGACUUCCUUGAUGACAUUUUAUGAAUGACACUAAUGACACAACAUAAAUAAAUAAAGGCGCUUCUCAUUACCAUGAGCUUCUGCUUAAACUAAACAGUAGUCUUUCACUGAAGAAAAAGUGAACUGAAGGUGGUGGAUCAAGCUUAUAAAUGGAAAAAGGAAAAAAAACAGAGGAGAGAAGAAAUGAAAAGCUUUAAAACUAUGGAAGGCAGGGCAGCAUCCCAUGAAGAUUUGAAUAUAUGGCAUGCAUUUGGCUGACAUGCAUUGUUUCAUUGGGUUCGAGCAAGUGCAAUUGCUCAGGAUGCUGAUCAGAACUACGACUAUGCCAGUAACAGUGUGGUCCUUCAUUUGGAGCCAGGAGA
This 690-nucleotide long non-coding RNA is filed under the name Crocodylus porosus (Australian saltwater crocodile). Its description in RNAcentral is "lncRNA (ENSCPRG00005011441.1)". Lineage: Eukaryota; Metazoa; Chordata; Crocodylia; Crocodylidae. The record is from RNAcentral.